Molecule: long non-coding RNA, 278 nt
Organism: Malurus melanocephalus (red-backed fairy wren)
Lineage: Eukaryota; Metazoa; Chordata; Aves; Passeriformes; Maluridae
Exons: 3
Source: RefSeq, a predicted model, not a curated record
CGGGACUGGGAAGUGAACCAGUACCACGCGUGCAAUGGCAGCGGGGCGCUGGCCUGCGGGGUGCCCCACAGCUGCUGCGUCCGCGGGGUGCCCGGAGGAGUGGUGAACACCCUGUGCGGCUAUCGGACCCUGGACAAGCAGCGCCUGGAGCUGCUGGGCACCAUCCACGUGCGGGGCUGCAUCCACGCCGUGGGGCUCUGGCUCAAGGACAACUUCGAGGCCACCUUGGCCAUCGUGUGCUCGCUGCUGCUGCCGCAGGUAUGCCGGGAUCCCAUGGG